AAUAAGUCUCUGGUGAAAUCCUAUAGCUUAACUGUGGGAAUUUUGCUGGAGAUACUAUUAGGCUUGAGAUCGGGAGAGGUCAGAGGUACUCCUGGGGUAGGGGUGAAAUCCUGUAAUCCUAGGAGGACCACCUGUGGCGAAGGCGUCUGACUAGAACGAAUCUGACGGUGAGGAACGAAAGCUAGGGGCGCGAACCGGAUUAGAUACCCGGGUAGUCCUAGCCGUAAACUAUGCGGACUUGGUGUGAGGGUGGCUUUGAGCCGUCCUGGUGCCGAAGGGAAGCUGUUAAGUCCGCCGCCUGGGAAGUACGGUCGCAAGACUGGAACUUAAAGGAAUUGGCGGGGGAGCACCACAACGCGUGGAGCCCUGCGGUUUAAUUGGAUUCAACGCCGGAGAUCUCACCAGCGGCGACAGCAGUAUGAUGACCAGGUUGAUGACUUUGUUUGACAAGCUGAGGGGAGGUGCAUGG
This 469-nucleotide ribosomal RNA is filed under the name uncultured archaeon. RNAcentral's name for it is "bacterial SSU rRNA". It matches the Rfam family "Archaeal small subunit ribosomal RNA", at positions 532 to 997 of the family's 1478-position model. The record is from RNAcentral.